Molecule: ribosomal RNA, 254 nt
Filed under: uncultured bacterium
Lineage: Bacteria
Description: partial 16S ribosomal RNA
Rfam family: Bacterial small subunit ribosomal RNA
Source: RNAcentral
UACGGGGGGAGCAAGCGUUGUUCGGAUUUACUGGGCGUAAAGGGCGCGUAGGCGGUCGUGACAAGUCACUUGUGAAAUCUCCGGGCUUAACUCGGAACGGUCAAGCGAUACUGUCGGACUAGAGUACAGAAGGGGCAACUGGAAUUCUCGGUGUAGCGGUGAAAUGCGUAGAUAUCGAGAGGAACACCUGCGGCGAAGGCGGGUUGCUGGGCUGAUACUGACGCUGAGGCGCGAAAGCGUGGGGAGCGAACAGG